This 1450-nucleotide ribosomal RNA is filed under the name uncultured bacterium. Its description in RNAcentral is "bacterial SSU rRNA". It matches the Rfam family "Bacterial small subunit ribosomal RNA". The record is from RNAcentral.
AACGCUGGCGGUAUGCUUAACACAUGCAAGUCGAACGGAAACGAUGCUAGCUUGCUAGCAGGCGUCGAGUGGCGGACGGGUGAGUAAUGCAUGAGAAUUUGCCUAUUAAUGGGGGACAACAGUUGGAAACGACUGCUAAUACCGCAUACGCUCUACGGAGGAAAGCAGGGGAUCUUCGGACCUUGCGUUAAUAGAUGAGCUCAUGUCGGAUUAGCUUGUUGGUGAGGUAAGAGCUCACCAAGGCGACGAUCCGUAGCUGGUUUGAGAGGAUGAUCAGCCACAUCGGGACUGAGACACGGCCCGAACUCCUACGGGAGGCAGCAGUGGGGAAUAUUGGACAAUGGGCGCAAGCCUGAUCCAGCAAUACCGCGUGUGUGAAGAAGGCCUUAGGGUUGUAAAGCACUUUCGUUGGUGAGGAAACGGUAGAGAUUAAUACUCUCUGCAAUUGACGUUAACCAAAUAAGAAGCACCGGCUAACUCCGUGCCAGCAGCCGCGGUAAUACGGAGGGUGCAAGCGUUAAUCGGAAUUACUGGGCGUAAAGCGCGCGUAGGCGGUUUGACGAGUCAGAUGUGAAAGCCCCGGGCUCAACCUGGGAACUGCAUUUGAAACUGUUGAACUUGAGUAUGGUAGAGGUAAGCGGAAUUUCCAGUGUAGCAGUGAAAUGCGUAGAGAUUGGAAGGAAUAUCGAUGGCGAAGGCAGCUUACUGGGCCAAUACUGACGCUGAGGUGCGAAGGCGUGGGUAGCGAACGGGAUUAGAUACCCCGGUAGUCCACGCCGUAAACGAUGUCAACUAGGUGUGAGGCCCUUGAGGUUUCGUGCCGCAGCUAACGCAUUAAGUUGACCGCCUGGGGAGUACGCACGCAAGUGUAAAACUCAAAGGAAUUGACGGGGACCCCACAAGCGGUGGAGCAUGUGGUUUAAUUCGAUGCAACGCGAAGAACCUUACCUGGGCUUGACAUCUAGCGAAGUUUUUAAAGAUAGAAACGUGCCUUCGGGAAGCUAAGACAGGUGUUGCAUGGCUGUCGUCAGCUCCUGUCUGGGAAUGUUGGGGUUAAUUCCCCCACCAACGCAACCCUUAUCCUUAUUUGCCAGCGGGUUAUGCCGGGAACUUUAGGGAGACUGCCGGUGACAAACCGGAGGAAGGUGGGGACGACGUCAAGUCAUCAUGGCCCUUACGGCCAGGGCUACACACGUGCUACAAUGGGUGAUACAAACGGUUGCCAACCCGCGAGGGGGAGCUAAUCUGAGAAAGUCACUCGUAGUCCGGAUUGCAGUCUGCAACUCGACUGCAUGAAGUCGGAAUCGCUAGUAAUCGUAGAUCAGCAUGCUACGGUGAAUACGUUCCCGGGUCUUGUACACACUGCCCGUCACACCAUGGGAGUUGGUUGCAAAAGAAGUGGCUAGUUUAACUUUUUAAGAAAACGGUCACCACUUUGUGGUCAAUGACU